CCUACGUGUGGCAGCAGUGAGGAAUAUUGGUCAAUGGGCGCGAGCCUGAACCAGCCAAGUAGCGUGAAGGAUGACUGCCCUACGGGUUGUAAACUUCUUUUAUAAAGGAAUAAAGUGAGGCACGUGUGCCUUUUUGUAUGUACUUUAUCAAUAAGGAUCGGCUAACUCCGUGCCAGCAGCCGCGGUAAUACGGAGGAUCCGAGCGUUAUCCGGAUUUAUUGGGUUUAAUGGGAGCGUAGAUGGGUUGUUAAGUCAGUUGUGAAAGUUUGCGGCUCAACCGUAAAAUUGCAAUUGAUACUGGCAGUCUUGAGUACAGUUGAGGUAGGCGGAAUUCGUGGUGUAGCGGUGAAAUGCUUAGAUAUCACGAAGAACUCCGAUUGCGAAGGCAGCUUACUAAACUGCAACUGACAUUGAUGCUCGAAAGUGUGGGUAUCAAACAGGAUUAGAUACCCUUGUAGUC
Molecule: ribosomal RNA, 460 nt
Filed under: uncultured bacterium
Lineage: Bacteria
Description: partial 16S ribosomal RNA
Rfam family: Bacterial small subunit ribosomal RNA
Source: RNAcentral